AUUAUUUUACCACCUCGAGUUAGGUGUUGACUCCAGGUUAAUGGAAAUGGAAAAUGGAAAUCUUAACUACCGAUAAUUCUGGGUAAUAACGACCUAACUCCCGGACCAUAGGUACCAGUUAAGAUCACGAUAUCAGAAGCGACAUUGUGUAUGAUAAUAGUAUACAGAUAACGUUAAUGUGUUUUUUCUUUGGCUUAUGCAAAUUUAAUUUUGGAUAUUAUGUGUCGUAAUUAGUUUUUGAGCUAAUUGUGCCAUCGGAUUUUGUGCUUAAACGUAAUACAUUGAAAUGUAUCAUAGAAUAAUCUUCGAUAACGAGAACGAGAUUGAUGAAGAAUUCAUUAAUUGCCAUGUAACUAUGACCGCGAAUCUUCUAUGAGUAUGAUGACUACAUAUAAAAGUACAAAAAAAGUUAGUUUUAAAAUUAAGGUCCUCCAUUAAAAAAACCCCCCCCUCCCUUGAAAGAAUUGUUCAAUGUCUAUACUAUUCUACCCAUUUUGCCCAUAGCUCAUCUCCAUUUUUAUACAUUUUUGUUUUAUCUGAUUACUCUAUUAUUGUUUUUUUUUUUUAUUAUCAACUAUAAAAACUAAUUAUUUGAAAUCAUAAUGUCAACUCAUUUGGUUUGUUUCUUUAUGAUGAAAAUACUUUGAAAUUAAAGUAAUUUUAAGUGAACUUAAAGUAUACAUAUUUAAAUUAAUAUUCAAAGGUAAAUAUUUAAAUAAAUAAAUACAAAACUUUAUUAACAUAUUUCUGGUAUUUAUGAUGUUUACAACAAGUUUUUUUUCACCAAACAGUGGUUCUCCAGAAAUCACUGCCAUUGUCAGUCACUUGCAGACAUUUGGAAUGCAUUAGGUCGAACCAUAAAAUAUUAAAAUAUAAAUGAAUAAUCAAAUUAUACAAAAUCAUAAACAUGUAUGAGCCCAUAAUAUUUUCAAAAAAAUAGUACAAUUUCAUGUACUUAACUCUAUUGUUAAGGACAUAGGACAAUGCAUCAAAAAAGAGUACUGUCUUACAAAAAAGAAUAUGUCUGGUCAACAUAUCUAUGAAAGAGUCAAUUAUGUAAAAUUAUUUAAUGAUCAUGAUUUCAUAAAUCGAUUUUUUCUUUCAAUAGCAAUAUAUUUAUGAAAGUCUUAAGAUUGGUAGAAAAAAAUAUAAACUUUUUCCAAAAGGUUAUAAGGUAUUUUAAAUGUUUAUGUUAUGUUUUUUAAUAUGAUAGUGUCAUUGACUAACCUACAGUUACAGUAUGUAAAAAUUUGUAAUUUCUUUUCUUCCAUUUAAAAUAUAUAUUUUUUGUUUCAGAAACAGAGAAAUAUUAGUACCUUGUAAGUCGUACAUGGCAUUGAGGUAUUAUUAGUUUCAAAUAAAUGAUAUUGACAUUAGGAAGGUAGUCACUGGUUUUUACUGUUUUUUUUAGUAGAUUUCCCAAAGUCAUAGGAACUAUAAACUGUACCAACAUAAAAAUUCAAUCACCAGGUAUAAAAUAUAAAUAGUAUUCUCAUCUACUAUAUUUCGUUUUUAUACAACUAUGGUUCUUUGUAUCUUUUAUAGAUGGAAAUAAUGUAAAAAAAUUCAGAAAUAGAAAAAGUUAUUUUUCAUCAAUGUUCAAUGAAUUUGUAAUCCAUGGCACAAAAUUAUGAACUAAGUGGUGCAAUGGCCAGGGUUAUUCUAUAGUCAAAUUGUUUUUUAUCAUUCAUUAAUCAAACAAGUUUGAAAAAGGAGUCAUAAAAGAAUAAAAGCUAUUCCUUUAGUGUGUGACCUACUGAACCGUUAGUUAAUUUAAAAGUAGUUAAAUUAAAAAUAAUAAAAUUAGGUCAUUUUAUUAUUACAGAUUACGGAUUACAUUCAAAAUUAAUCAACAAAAUAUCAAUAAACAAAAAAAAAACUUUUACGUACAUCUUUGGUUCAUCAUGACAUUUAUGAUAUAAAUUAGUUUCAUUAUUUUAUGGUAAUAGUUUAUUAUUUUUCUUAAAAAUUCUAAUACAGUUUUUUCAGAAAAAAUAAUCGCAUACAAUUCAACUGCCAAGAUUUUAAAGUUUUAAACAUAAACAAUUACAGGAUUAAUGUGUGUUUAAUCCACAUUAAUACAUGGACAACAGAAUACGAGGGAUGGAUCUAGAGGAUGACCUAGUGGCUAAGCUUCCCCGACAUAUUAUUUCUUUGAUUUUUGUAUGAGAAAAUAAUAUAUAUGUUAUGUAUGUUAUAAAAUAUCUAUUGGUAAAAUCCAGUGCAUAUAAUAUAAAUAUAAUAAAAUUAUAAAGAUAAUCAAGCAUAGGUUGUCUGUACCCAUAAUAAUAAUAUAGAUAGUCUUUUUUCGCUCAGUAGGUC
Non-coding RNA from Cinara cedri, 2322 nucleotides. The record is from the annotation of a GenBank genome assembly. NCBI's taxonomy places the organism in Eukaryota, Metazoa, Arthropoda, Insecta, Hemiptera, Aphididae.